UUUUUAUAGUGUAACUAAACAUAUUACAUUUUCACUGU
RNAcentral lists this transfer RNA (38 nucleotides) under Pagurus minutus. RNAcentral's name for it is "tRNA-Glu". The record is from RNAcentral. Lineage: Eukaryota; Metazoa; Arthropoda; Malacostraca; Decapoda; Paguridae.